UACAGAGGGUGCGAGCGUUGUCCGGAAUCACUGGGCGUAAAGGGCGCGUAGGUGGCGAAGCAAGUCAGUGGUGAAAGCUCGACGCUUAACGUCGAGUCGGCCACCGAUACUGGGUUGCUGGAGCACUGUAGAGGGCAGAUGGAAUUCCGGGUGUAGCGGUGGAAUGCGUAGGAGAUCCGGAAGAACACCGGUGGCGAAGGCGGUCUGCUGGGCAGUUGCUGACACUG
Molecule: ribosomal RNA, 227 nt
Filed under: uncultured bacterium
Lineage: Bacteria
Description: partial 16S ribosomal RNA
Rfam family: Bacterial small subunit ribosomal RNA
Source: RNAcentral